This 22-nucleotide unclassified non-coding RNA is filed under the name Mus musculus (house mouse). RNAcentral describes it as "oocyte_clustered_small_RNA11248". Lineage: Eukaryota; Metazoa; Chordata; Mammalia; Rodentia; Muridae. The record is from RNAcentral.
UUGCUGUUGUCUUUGUUGUUGU